UCAGGCCUAACACAUGCAAGUCAUACGAGAGUUUUUAACUCAAGUGGCGGACGGGUGAGUAACACGUAAGAAUUUACCUUUAGGAGGGGGAUAACAACGAGAAAUUGUUGCUAAUACCCCAUAUGCUUUCGAGUGAAAUGGAUUUUUCCGCCUAGAGAGAAGCUUGCGCCUGAUUAGCUUGUUGGUAAGGUAAUGGCUUACCAAGGCGACGAUCAGUAUCUGGUUUGAGAGGAUGAUCAGACACACUGGAACUGAGACACGGUCCAGACUCCUACGGGAGGCAGCAGUGGGGAAUUUUCCGCAAUGGGCGAAAGCCUGACGGAGCAAUCUCGCGUGAGGGAUGACGGCCUAUGGGUUGUAAACCUCUUUUUUCAGGGAGGAAUAAAAUGACGUGUACCUGAAGAAUAAGCAUCGGCUAACUCCGUGCCAGCAGCCGCGGUAAGACGGAGGAUGCAAGUGUUAUCCGGAAUCACUGGGCGUAAAGCGUCUGUAGGUGGUUUAGUAAGUCAACUGUUAAAUCUUGGAGCUUAACUUCAAAAUCGCAGUCGAAACUGCUAGACUAGAGUAUAGUAGGGGUAAAGGGAAUUUCCAGUGGAGCGGUGAAAUGCGUAGAGAUUGGAAAGAACACCGAUGGCGAAGGCACUUUACUGGGCUAUUACUGACACUCAGAGACGAAAGCUAGGGUAGCAAAUGGGAUUAG
RNAcentral lists this ribosomal RNA (700 nucleotides) under uncultured bacterium. RNAcentral describes it as "bacterial SSU rRNA". It matches the Rfam family "Bacterial small subunit ribosomal RNA", at positions 42 to 781 of the family's 1533-position model. The record is from RNAcentral.